Trachemys scripta elegans is the source of this 914-nucleotide long non-coding RNA. RefSeq lists it as uncharacterized. Lineage: Eukaryota; Metazoa; Chordata; Testudines; Emydidae. The transcript has 3 exons. The record is from RefSeq and is a predicted model, not a curated record.
CAGCCCCUGGUCCUGGUUAUGCCUUUCUCUGCUAGAGAUUUUUACUACCUGGUAUGUUCUCCCAAAAGGUGGUGAUGCCCAUCAGGGCAUGUAGGGACCAGAAUGACUCAUUGGGAACCUGAUCCAGAUUAUUUCACUCUUCAUAUAUUGUAGAACUGCUCCAACAUUUGGCGCCAGGCUGAGCGGUUCUCGUUUCAAAGCUGCCUAUUCCCCUCUCCUCAUUUGCUGUUCCUCGGCCUCUUCAGUCUGGCAGGGAUAAUCCAAUCUAUGCCAGAGCCACAGGCAUAUUUCUCCAUAAAGUACUGGCUGUUACAAUGAAGACUUCCCUGCAGAGAAAGCUGUGCAUCACUGGAUGGGGGAGAUGAAGCAGAAGGGUACUUCAGCAGUGCAGCAGCUUGAAUUUCUGUCCCAGGAGGAGACAGACAACUGAACACCAACAGCUGGAUUCCCCAGUGGUACUAAUCAGUGGAUCCUCCAGUAUGGGCAGAAGAAGAUUCUAAAUGACAAUCAUUGGCUUGAUGACAAGGCAGUUGGGGGAUCUGUGCCAUUGGAUUUAGACUCAUGGAGCUACAUUCUACUCUACUGAUCUAUAUAUUUAACUUGCAAAUUAUGGUGGUUCUUUGUACAGCAGCCCAGUGGGUUUCUUGCUUUGUAAUUCACCAAACACAAUGGUCAUUUAUCAGUAUGUCCCUAUAACCUAUUUAUGUGUUUCCUCUGUGCCUUGUUUUGACCAUCCAAUUCUGAUCAAGCUUCCUAAUCAUUUUACCAGACCUAAUACAGACCAUUAUAGUAACUGUGCUUGGAGUUACAGAAGUUAUAGGAGUUAUGUUUGGUUGAAAGAACAGAACCCAGUUACCCAACCAUACCCAAAAGACCCAAACAUUCUCUCGCUAUUAAAAUAUUUUAUUGACCAG